RNAcentral lists this ribosomal RNA (2636 nucleotides) under Laminopora jellyae. RNAcentral describes it as "partial large subunit ribosomal RNA". It matches the Rfam family "Eukaryotic large subunit ribosomal RNA", at positions 23 to 2406 of the family's 3401-position model. The record is from RNAcentral. Lineage: Eukaryota; Metazoa; Bryozoa; Gymnolaemata; Cheilostomatida; Adeonidae.
ACCCGCUGAACUUAAGCAUAUCAGUAAGCGGAGGAAAAGAAACUAACUAGGAUUCCCCGAGUAGCGGCGAGCGAAAGGGGAGAAGCCCAGCGCCGAAGCCCGCGGCCUCUGGUCGCAGUGCAAUGUGGCGUUUCGGCUGCGGCUCGCCGCGACUUCUCUGGCACGCGUACCUCUGAACGGGUCUGCCCUUAGCGGGUGUCAGGCCUCUACCUGCCGUGAGUCGUCGUGGCCCGCCGUAGCCGCGGAGUCGGGUUGCUUGAGAGUGCAGCCCAAAGUGGGUGGUAAGCUCCAUCUAAGGCUAAAUACCUAGUGCGAGACCGAUAGCAAACAAGUACCGUGAGGGAAAGUUGCAAAGAACUUUGAAAAGAGAGUUCAAGAGUACGUGAAACCGUUCAGAGGCAAACGGACGGAACUGGGCGAGUUCGUCGCGGUCAUUCAGCCGACGCUUAACGGCGUCGGUGCACUUGGCCGCGGCGGAGCGCGACGACCGCCUGUCGGGUUGUCUGAAGCCCGGCGGCAAGGUGACGAAGCGCUCGCGCUUCGUGUUACAGGCCGCCGACGCGUCGACUGACCUGACGGGCGAGGAGCGCCUGCUGCGCACUCCCGCCUCGGCGGGAGCCGUCCGACCUGGUGGGCUCGCGGACGCCGGUGGCUAACUGCUCGCAGUUCGUCGUCGCGCGCUCUGCUUGUCGCGCCGGGCGGUGCGGCGCUGCGCACAGGGUCCGAGUCGCGUGGUUCCCGGCACUCCGUCCGACCCGUCUUGAAACACGGACCAAGGAGUUGAGCACGUGCGCGAGUCGAUGGGCGCGUACGAACCCCAGUGGCGUAGCUAAGGCAAAACGGGCGUGAUCCGGCACUAGCGUGUCGGCGCAACGCCGGCCCGCAGCCAACUCGACGAGUAGCUGCGGCGCAAGAGCGCACGUGCUCAGACCCGAAAGGUGGUGAACUAUGCUUGAGCAGGGCGAAGCCAGAGGAAACUCUGGUGGAGGCUCGCAGCGAUCCUGACGUGCAAAUCGGUCGUCAAACUUGAGCAUAGGGGCGAAAGACUAAUCGAACCGCCUAGUAGCUGGUUCCCUCCGAAGUUUCCCUCAGGAUAGCUGGCACUCGAAAUCAACGGUUUUAUCCGGUAAAGCGAAUGAUUAGAGGCAUUGGGGGCGAAACGCCCUCAACCUAUUCUCAAACUUUAAAUGGGUAAGAAGCGCGACCCUUCCUGAUCGGGGUCGCGUGCUUGAACGGAGAGUGCCCAGUGGGCCGUUUUUGGUAAGCAGAACUGGCGCUGUGGGAUGAACCAAACGUGCGGUUAGGGUGCCUAACGCACGCUCAUGAGACACCACAAAAGGUGUUGGUUGAUAUAGACAGCAGGACGGUGGCCAUGGAAGUCGGAAUCCGCUAAGGAGUGUGUAACAACUCACCUGCCGAAUCAACUAGCCCUGAAAAUGGAUGGCGCUGGAGCGUGCGACCCAUACCGCACCGUCGGGGCAAUGCGUGCGAAAUGCCAGGCCCCGAUGAGUAGGAGGGCGUGUCGGUGGCGUUGAAGCGUUGUGCGCGAGCACGCGUGGAGCCGCCUUCAGUGCAGAUCUUGGUGGUAGUAGCAAGUAUACAAAUGAGAACUUUGUAGACCGAAGUGGAGAAGGGUUCCAUGUGAACAGCAGUUGGACAUGGGUCAGUCGGCCCUAAGAGAUCGGAAAAUUCCGUUCUGAACGGGGGAGGACUCGUGCACGCGGCGUCUGAAAGAAACUAAUAUUUCCAGCGCGCUCGCGUGUCACGUGCAUGGCAUCCCCCGAUGCGAUCGAAAGGGAAUCGGGUUAAUAUUCCCGAACCAGGCGGCGGAGAUUGGGCCCUCGGGCCCCAGUGCGGUAACGCAACCGAACUCGGAGACGCCAGCGUCGAUCCCGGGAAGAGUUCUCUUUUCUUUGUUAGGAGCGGACUCCCUGGAAUUGGCUUGUCCAGAGAUAGGGACGUUGCAUCCGUAAAGCGUCGCGCCUCACGCGGCGUCCGGUGCAUCGGCGUUGGCCCUUGAAAAUCCGAGGAAGGCAGUGUAAUUUUCGCCCCUGGCCGUACCCGAAUCCGCAGCAGGUCUCCAAGGUGAACAGCCUCUGGUCGAUAGAACAAUGUAGGUAAGGGAAGUCGGCAAAUCCGAUCCGUAACUUCGGGAUAAGGAUUGGCUCUGAGGUGCGGGCUGUUUCGGGUCGCGGCAAGAAGCGGACCGUGCGUUGGCUGGACUGGACGUGCUCGCGCGCGUUCGGACCGCCGCCAGCGCGCGUCCGUGGGAGGCCGUGGCUUUCGCCGGCGGGGGCCUCGCGUCCCCGUCGGCUUCGUUCGGCCUAAACGCACAGCACAGAACUGGCACGGACUCUGGGAACACGACUGUCUAAUUAAAACAAAGCAUCGCGAUGGCCGCUGGUCGGUGUUGACGCGAUGUGAUUUCUGCCCAGUGCUUUGAAUGUCAAAGUGAAGAAAUUCAACCAAGCGCAGGUAAACGGCGGGAGUAACUAUGACUCUCUUAAGGUAGCCAAAUGCCUCGUCAUCUAAUUAGUGACGCGCAUGAAUGGAUUAACGAUGUUCCCACUGUCCCUAUCUACUAUCUAGCGAAACCACAGCCAAGGGAACGGGCUUGGCAAAUACAGCGGGGAAAG